RNAcentral lists this long non-coding RNA (160 nucleotides) under Numida meleagris (helmeted guineafowl). RNAcentral describes it as "lncRNA (ENSNMEG00000020437.1)". The record is from RNAcentral. Lineage: Eukaryota; Metazoa; Chordata; Aves; Galliformes; Numididae.
UUGUCAGGUAAAACUGAGGUUUCAGUUGUUCCUGUCAUGGGACAGCAGCAGAUACAUCUGCUCACUAGUCACAGGUUCUCAUUAUCUGUCUAAAUAAAGGUACUCUCUACAUGUUUGCAUAUAUGAUUAUUUAUUUUUACUUUUUUUCACUGCUUCUAAA